Molecule: small nucleolar RNA, 73 nt
Organism: Jaculus jaculus (lesser Egyptian jerboa)
Lineage: Eukaryota; Metazoa; Chordata; Mammalia; Rodentia; Dipodidae
Product: small nucleolar RNA SNORD24
Exons: 1
Source: RefSeq, a predicted model, not a curated record
UGCAGAGGAUGUAAAUGACAGUCUAGUCCUAGGAGAUGAUGAGGACUCCCCAUCCACCAAGAUCGCUGAUGCA